Molecule: unclassified non-coding RNA, 340 nt
Filed under: Hevea brasiliensis (rubber tree)
Lineage: Eukaryota; Viridiplantae; Streptophyta; Magnoliopsida; Malpighiales; Euphorbiaceae
Source: RNAcentral
AUUCCAGCAGCAGCUUGGACUUUCCCGCAACAAAACGAUGUCUUGCUGCAUUAGUAGUGACUAGCGAUGCAUAGUUUAUGAGAUUGACAAGUGCAGUUUCUAGUAGUUGAACCACAGCAAUUGACCCUUCAAUCCUCAUUAGCGGCACCUUGGGAAAGACAACUGAACCUUCAGGUAUAGAAAAUAUCUCAACAUCUGAACAGUCAAUUCCUCGAAGGUAGUUAUAGAAGGCAUCCUCACACGAUGGGGGCAAUGAUUUUCUGAUAAAAGCUAUCUCUUCUUCAGUUAAUUUGUAAUGAGCAAUAAGCUUUAUGCAUUCUUCUAACCCAGCAAAUAUUGU